UUCUAAUAGGAUAGAACGUAACAAUUGCAAGAAACUCAAGGUUUCUUAGUAGUAGUACAGACAAGUAAACAAUAAUGGGAUAACAACUGUGAAGAAAACAAUACAAAACCUUGUGCAACUUGUCUUUGCUGAAGCAGAGAGGAGAUAUAUCUGGCCUCAAGUAGAAUGAAACUUCAGUUCCAAGUCCUGGUUGUGUCUGUACAUGAAGGUCAGUUGCCGCUGACUAGCCCACUCAAGGGAGAAUGAAACAGGUAUCAGAAAAGCCAGGCUCUUUCCUGAGGGCAUCCACCACAAGUUUAGCCCCAUAGGGUCUACUGGUGAGAUCUUCUGGGUUGCUGUCUCAUCUCCCUGCACAAAAAGCAGCAAGAAUGGUGAUUGCCCACAAUUGGAAAGAUUUUCGAAAAGUGACUCUGGAACAUUGGUACUAAAGAAUGUGGCAGGUAGCCCUUUUUGAAAAGUUAACACAGAAGCUGAAAUAAUCACAGUGAAGGAAAAAAGGACACAUUUGUAAUGUUGUUGGAUAUAUGUUGGAAAAUUAAGGGAAAAAAUCACCAUUCAUGAGCCUUUACCAAAAGGGUGAGGAAAUCCCAUGCGAUUGACACUCUGACUGUCAGCAUGACCGGAGGCAGAUGGUAAAAACUGAUAGCCAUUCUACAUGUUCAAAUAAAUGUAGAUGAACAUCCCUGCUGAGACUGGACCAGUUCAAAAACCAAGUUGUAGUAGCUGUUGGGAGAGUGCUCCUUACCUGGCUUCUCAACCCCGUAGUUGCUGGCAGGGCCGGCGCCAGAGGACGGCCAGGUUGGGCCCCGACUGAGGGUCCCUGAGUCCGAAGGGGCCCAUGAAGGGCCCCUCCUUAGGUUGGGUGGGUAACACUCCCUUCCGCAAUCCGUGGCAGCGUUGGUGUCCGACCCUGCAGCGGAUCAUUAGAGGAAGCUCCUAGGCACCUCGCCUACUGCCAUGCAGACCUGCAACCCCCACCUGCAUGCCCCACCUACCUCUCCCUUGAUGUAAAUGCUGGUUGUGCUGUGGGCGCAAGCCUGCCAUCUACCAAGAUGGUGGCCGAGGUUUCCCUAAGAGGCUGAUGCCCCUGCCUC
Long non-coding RNA from Rhineura floridana, 1094 nucleotides. RefSeq lists it as uncharacterized. The transcript is spliced from 3 exons. NCBI's taxonomy places the organism in Eukaryota, Metazoa, Chordata, Lepidosauria, Squamata, Rhineuridae. The record is from RefSeq and is a predicted model, not a curated record.